AGCAGCCGCGGUAAUUCCAGCUCCAAUAGCGUAUAUUAAAGUUGUUGCAGUUAAAAAGCUCGUAGUUGAAUUUCGGGGUCAGUAGGUCGGUCGUGCCACUGGUAUGAACUGGUUUUACUGAUUCCUCCCUCUUGAAGAACUGUAAUGCCAUUAAUUUGGUGUUGCAGGGAAUCAGGACUGUUACUUUGAAAAAAUUAGAGUGUUUAAAGCAGGCUUUAGCUUGAAUACAUUAGCAUGGAAUAAUGAAAUAGGACGUUUGAUCCUAUUUUGUUGGUUUCUAGGAUUGACGUAAUGAUUAAUAGGGAUAGUUGGGGGCAUUAGUAUUCAAUUGUCAGAGGUGAAAUUCUUGGAUUUAUUGAAGACUAACUACUGCGAAAGCAUUUGCCAAGGAUGUUUUCAUUAAUCAAGAACGAAAGUUAGGGGAUCGAAGACGAUCAGAUACCGUCGUAGUCUUAACCAUAAACUAUGCCGACUAGGGAUCGGAUGAUGUUAAUUUUUUAAUGACUCAUUCGGCGCCUUA
Molecule: ribosomal RNA, 520 nt
Filed under: uncultured Glomus
Lineage: Eukaryota; Fungi; Glomeromycota; Glomeromycetes; Glomerales; Glomeraceae
Description: SSU rRNA
Rfam family: Eukaryotic small subunit ribosomal RNA
Source: RNAcentral